RNAcentral lists this unclassified non-coding RNA (1376 nucleotides) under Hevea brasiliensis (rubber tree). The record is from RNAcentral. Lineage: Eukaryota; Viridiplantae; Streptophyta; Magnoliopsida; Malpighiales; Euphorbiaceae.
GCUGCUGCAAUUGAACUGAAACAGGCAAGUAACCCUCGAUAGUUGCUAUAAUCUUGCUUUCUUUAUUAGAUCUUCUGAUUAGGUUUUGUUACUAGGCAUUGUUUUACUAUUCUUAUCAAAUUUUUACAUUUGAAUGGUAGAUAAGAAAAAGAAGAUAGCUUUACUUGCAUAAAAGCAAUUAUUAUUGUCAACCAGUAGCAUUCGUUGCCUUAUUCUUAAUCCUAACUGAGAUUUUAGUUAAGCAGAAACCCUUUAGUAAGGAGACUUUGGUAUUUGAAUAUUGCUAAUCAAAUGUGCAUAAAGAUGACUGAUCAGAUGCUGAAUUAUUGGUUUUCCUCUUUUCUGGAUUGUCUCUGCUAGAGUUUUGCCUUAGUUCUGCUUAGAUCAUUCGUAGGCAUAUGAGGAAUCAUAUGCAUACUAAUUAUCCUAAAUAGAUAAUUAGUAUGCUUAUUAGGAAUCAUAGUAUUACCUCAAUUCACUCCUUAGAUCAUGGGUUUCUACUACAUAAAUUAUUCUAAAUCUAGCUUUUAAUCCUACUGUGUAUUCUGUUCACAGUACACUUCACACACAAUAUAUUUGCCAUAUUCUUCAAUUUCUGUGCUGAUUUAUUUCUGUUAGUUAUUUUAAUCUGCUUGUAUUCUUCACUUAUUGUUUUGGGGUUCCAGUGCUAAAAUGCUGCUUUGGUAACAGCGUUUACAUAAACAUCAUGUAUUUCAUUUUACUUUGUUCUUUUUCUUUUUCUCUUGAAUGGAGAAAUCUUGUUAUGCAAAGUAUUUAAAACAGUCUUCUUUUUGGGAAUGCAAUACAACUUCUAUUGUUAAGGGUGUGCCUAAGUAACAAGAGGAAGGGAAUGUUUGUAAGGCCAGAAAAAACUUACCUACACCACAUAUACAUUAACCGCCACUCAUAUUCAGGGUUAGGCUCCAUCAAUAGCCUGGGUUCCACUUCACUCCAUAUGACCAUACCUUCUGCUUAUGCACACCUAAACAAAUUAAAAUGAAAACAGAAAGAUGAGCUAGCAAUGUAUUCAUGAGAACACAUAACUGUCCUACUCUGCACAAAGCCACAAACAUGUUCUCUCUCUCCAUCAUACUUCUUUAUUCUUCUCCUUUGCAUACUCAAAUUAAUCAUUUUUUCUUUUUUAGUUUCUGGCACAAUUCCCCCUUUUCUUUCUAUGACUAAUCUUCUCCUUCACUUGCUCAGUUUUCCUUCCCUUUUGUUCCAGUUCCGCUAAGUCCUUUUUCUUCCUUCUUUUCCACAAUACUACCUUUUCUUAAUUAGGCUGAGCAGAGAUAAGUCUCUGCUACCUCUUUGUAACCUUGAGCUCAAAAAAAGAAAAAUAUAUUUUGUAAAGAUUCCUCUUUUUUUUUUUUUUU